CUCUAUAAUUGUUAUAUCUGUCCCCUAAACAUGGAGAUCAAGCCAGGCUCAUCCAUGGAAUGGAUUGAUAAAAAAUAUCGCUCCCACUCACUAUAUCCACUCCAGUCUUGAUAUACAAGAGAAAAUUAAAAAAAAAAACACCAUGAUAACCAUAUAGGACACUUUAGGUCCGGUUUCUCUCCAGGAGAGAGCAGAUUAGAGUCAAUGAAGAUUAUGGGGUAUAAUUCAGUGCAUUAGUUUGCUUUUGUAGCUGGAGAAAACUAAAUCCUUAUAUACUUCAAUCUGGCACAAUUUGAUUGAUUACACAAUAUUUAACAACCUAAUGGAUGAGUAAAUUCAUUGGGAUCACCUCAUAUAUAUUCCAAAAUCUCAUACAUAGAACCAAAUACAUGAACAGUGCAUAUGCAAUAACUUACACGUUUGACAAAAGGCAUCAUAAGUCCAAACAAAGCUCCAUCACAAUGAAUGUAGAACCGAUCAUGGUUGAAUCCAUUUUCUUCAAGAGUUUGUAUCACAA
Molecule: long non-coding RNA, 517 nt
Organism: Juglans microcarpa x Juglans regia
Lineage: Eukaryota; Viridiplantae; Streptophyta; Magnoliopsida; Fagales; Juglandaceae
Exons: 2
Source: RefSeq, a predicted model, not a curated record